RNAcentral lists this ribosomal RNA (254 nucleotides) under uncultured bacterium. Its description in RNAcentral is "partial 16S ribosomal RNA". It matches the Rfam family "Bacterial small subunit ribosomal RNA", at positions 524 to 776 of the family's 1533-position model. The record is from RNAcentral.
UACGUAGGGUGCAAGCGUUGUCCGGAAUUAUUGGGCGUAAAGAGCUCGUAGGCGGUGUGUCACGUCGUUCGUGAAAACCUGCAGCUUAACUGUGGGCGUGCGGUCGAUACGGGCAUCACUGGAGUUCGGCAGGGGAGACUGGAAUUCCUGGUGUAGCGGUGAAAUGCGCAGAUAUCAGGAGGAACACCGGUGGCGAAGGCGGUCUGCUGGGCAGUAGCUGACACUGAGGCGCGACAGCGUGGGGAGCAAACAGG